CCUACGGGCGGCUGCAGUCGAGAAUUUUUGGCAAUGGGCGAAAGCCUGACCAAGCGAUGCCGCGUGCGGGAUGAAGGCCUUCGGGUUGUAAACCGCUGUCAGUGGGGAGGAAAGCUUUGUGAAGAGCAAGGCUUGACCUCUCCGCAGAGGAAGUGUGGGCUAAGUUCGUGCCAGCAGCCGCGGUAAGACGAACCACACAACGGUUAUUCGGAAUUACUGGGCUUAAAAGGUGCCGCAGCAGCGCGGGUGUGAAAUACCUCGGCUCAACCGAGGAACUGCGCCCAAAACUACUGUGCUUGAGGAAGAUAGAGGUAAGCGGAACUUACGGUGGAGCGGUGAAAUGCGUUGAUAUCGUAAGGAACACCUGUGGCGAAAGCGGCUUACUGGGUCUUUUCUGACGCUGAUGCACGAAAGCUAGGGGAGCAAACGGGAUUAGAUACCCGAGUAGUC
This 450-nucleotide ribosomal RNA is filed under the name uncultured bacterium. RNAcentral describes it as "partial 16S ribosomal RNA". It matches the Rfam family "Bacterial small subunit ribosomal RNA", at positions 338 to 795 of the family's 1533-position model. The record is from RNAcentral.